UGAGGAAUAUUGGGCAAUGCCCGCAAGGGUGACCCAGCAACGACGCGGGGAGGAUGAAUGGCGUAAGAUUGUAAACUCCUGUUAGAGGGGAAGAAUAGUACCGGUUGGACCGGUAUAUGACUGUACCCUCAGAGAAAGCCCCGGCCAAAUACGUGCCAGCAGCCGCGGUAAUACGUAGGGGGCAAGCUUUGUCCGGAUUUACUGGGUGUAAAGGGUGCGCAGUCGGGAUAAAAAGUCAGUGGUGAAAUCCUACAGCUUAACUGUAGAACUGCCUUUGAUACUUUUAUUCUUGAGUUCGGGAGAGAGUGACGGAAUUCCAGGUGUAGUGGUGAAAUACGUAGAUAUCUGGAAGAACACCAGUUGCGAAGGCGGUCUCUUGGUCCGACACUGACGCUGAGGCGCGAAAGCGUGGGGAGCAAACA
Molecule: ribosomal RNA, 422 nt
Filed under: uncultured bacterium
Lineage: Bacteria
Description: bacterial SSU rRNA
Rfam family: Bacterial small subunit ribosomal RNA
Source: RNAcentral